AUAUUGUACAAUGGGGGCAACCCUGAUCCAGCCAUGCCGCGUGUGUGAAGAAGGUCUUCGGAUUGUAAAGCACUUUAAGUUGGGAGGAAGGGCUUUAUGUUAAUACCCUGAAGUUUUGACGUUACCAACAGCAUAAGCACCGGCUAACUCUGUGCCAGCAGCCGCGGUAAUACAGAGGGUGCAAGCGUUAAUCGGAAUUACUGGGAGUAAAGUGCGCGUAGGUGGUUCAGUAAGAUGGGUGUGAACUCCCCGGGCUUAACCUGGGCACUGCUUUCAUAACUGCUGAGCUAGAGUACGGUAGAGGGUAGUGGAAUUUCCUGUGUAGAGGUGAAAUGCGUAGAUAUAGGAAGGAACACCAGUGGCGAAGGCGACUACAUGGACUGAUACUGACACUGAGGUUCGAAAGCGUGGGGAGCAAACA
Molecule: ribosomal RNA, 421 nt
Filed under: uncultured bacterium
Lineage: Bacteria
Description: partial 16S ribosomal RNA
Rfam family: Bacterial small subunit ribosomal RNA
Source: RNAcentral